RNAcentral lists this small RNA (2072 nucleotides) under Arabidopsis thaliana (thale cress). RNAcentral's name for it is "ATSL092300". Lineage: Eukaryota; Viridiplantae; Streptophyta; Magnoliopsida; Brassicales; Brassicaceae. The record is from RNAcentral.
UCUUUGAAGGAAGCUGAAAGCUGAAAUUUUCGAGAUGGUGUGAAGCAGAAAAAAAAUGAGAGAGAUCGUAUUGAAGUGCGCACAAAGAAGAAAGUGAGAGAGAGUGAUAUCUUAUCUUUAGGUUUCGAUUUGAAUGAGUGGAGGAGGAUGGUCUCCUAUGCUUUCUUUGUUGGGAUAAGGGUGUUGACCAAAUAGUGAUUGAGCAUGAUGGGUAAAGGCUUUGUCCACCGAGUAAUAGAAUGAUGGGGAGACAAGUGGGCCACUCGAUCACCAAGCUUGGCUGUUUAGUUGCUUUACUCGACCAAUUGAUAGAGUAAAAUGGUGACGCAAUUUUACUCGACCAAUUGAUAGAGUAGAAUUGCUUCUAUUGCAGAUAUUUCUUGAUCACAGAGUUCACAGCUCUACAAAUCCUGAUUUAUUUCCUGAAUUCCAAAAACACUAAAAAGCAUAUCAAGAUAUCAAAAUGAAAUAUGUACAGAGAUAGGCAUGGGAUUUCCUCCCAAGUGAGCUAGUUUAAAGUCUUAAGCUAGACUUCUUACUAUUUUAGGCAUUGAUGGGUUCCUGGAGGUCAACUGUAGUUCCUUCAGGAAUAGGGCAAUCUGCCAUAUAACGCUUGACCCUCUGCCCAUUCACAGUAAAUUCAGAACCUCCCUCCUUAGUAAGACUAAUUACCCCAUAUGGCAGUACCUUGAUAUGUCUAUAAUUUGCAUGUUUUUAGUGUCCAUUCAUCAUCGUUUUGAGUCCAGUUUCGUAUCAUUCAUCACUGUUUUAUAUCAUUUCUCAUCAUUCAUCACUGUUUUAUAUCAUUUCUCAUCAUUCUUGCAUACUUUGCAUGAUUAGGAUAGCUUUGCAUACAUAUUGCAGUUCUGAGUUGUUUUCAGGUGAUUUGGAGCUGUUUGCGAGCAAAUUGGAAGAAACGAGCCAGAACCAGAAGACAUACUCGACCACCAGGUCGUGUGCAUCCAGCACCAUACUCGACCCCCUGGUCGAGUGACUUUGGAGCCAUUCUUCCCACCUACUCGACCCCCUGGUCGAGUAUCCUCAUCGCAGGCCACUCGAUGACGCCACUCGACCCCCUGGUCGAGUAUCACUUCGCCACACCACCUGACCACACUCGGCCGUUCACUCUACCAAGUUACUCGACCCCCUGGUCGGGUAUAAUCACUCACCACUAACACCAUCACUCGACCGGACACUCGAUCACAUCUUCAUAGUCUACUCAAAUCCGCACUCAACCAGACAAGCUGAGCACAAGGAAGAGAAGAGGAGAAGACGAAGUGUUUGGAAGCGGCCUGGAGCUCCAUCGGAUCACGAAGCCCAUCUCGGCCCAUUAUCACUCUAUGGGCCGGGCGAUUAGGUUAUUGGCCCGUCUACUAUCAUUUUAUUUCGUUUUGUAUAAAUAGAUGUCUUAGGGUUCUGUCCCGAGAUAUCUAGUCGACAUUGAGUUUUUGCUUUAGUUUUAUUUUUUGUUUUACUCUACUGCGCCGCUUUUGCUUCUGCAACCUGUAAUUCGAGAUUUUUCCAAGUUAUUCAGAUUCCGCAUUUUAUUUCAUCUGUCAUCUUGUUUCUCUACUCUUUAUCUCUUUACUUAUGCAAUAUUAUUAUUUAUCUGCGUUUAUCUCUUUGAGCAUGUUGUCUGAGUAGUGACUUAGAAUUCUUAGGGAUGGGAUAGAGUAGUUAUGGAAUCCGUAGUCUGUAGAAUGGUUAAGUUUUAGAAUUGAUUGAAUCCCUUUAGGACUAGUUGCGUUUACUGCUUAUUUCUUUCUAAUCAACUGGAAUUCGAUCCCAAGCAUUCUCGCACCCAGAAGGUGUUCGAUGGAAUGUUUGAUCCUUUAGUUCCUGAGAUAUUCGUCUCUAUCCCAAGGGAUUGGCCGUUUAGAGCGUUUAUUGACUUUAUCAGUCUGUUCUUAUUGCCUACAUAGUUAGAUUCCGUUAAUGGGAAUUAGUCUGGGCUAGCUUUACUUGAGGAUUUCUAUCACGGGAGUGAAUUGAUCUGUUAUUGAACCUGUUGUCUAGGGAUAGCUUGAUUGCGCUUGUUAACCAUUCGAAUAGGCUAGGAUACCACUUUAUUC